UAACAGGAGGCAUUGACGUAUCUUGAUUAGCGUGGGUUGUUAAGCCUUAGGGCAGUUAUUUUAAACUGAUAUAUAAAAAGAACUCCUAGGAACUUGCAAAGGAGUGUUGAUAUCUUGCAUUCUCUAUAAAUCUCUUCUUCCCCAGUAAUUCUUAUGUGUUCUUACCUUUCUAGUUCAAUUCUUCCUUUUGUUUGCAUCAUAAAUAAACAAAAUUCACAAACCCAAUUCAAUUGAAAUCAAAA
Molecule: unclassified non-coding RNA, 242 nt
Filed under: Hevea brasiliensis (rubber tree)
Lineage: Eukaryota; Viridiplantae; Streptophyta; Magnoliopsida; Malpighiales; Euphorbiaceae
Source: RNAcentral